UCAAGGUUUGAUUACAGCCUAAAAGCUAGUUGUAUGAUUUAAAUGUAUGUGAAAUUUUUUUAAAUAGAUUUAUGACAGCAUUUAUUUUUAAAUAUUAAGUAAUUUUAGAUUUAGGAAUUUAGUAAAUAUAAACUAAAUUUGUGCCAGCAGUAGCGGUUAAACAAAUUAUAUAUAUUAGUUUUGUCUAAUUUAAUAAGAUUGAGAUAUUUUUAUUUGUAAUAAAAUUUUUAAGGUGAAAUUUAAAAUUUUAUUUAAGUUUGAUUUAAGAUUUUGAGUUAAUAAGUUUUAUAUUAGACUAGGAUUAGAUACCCUAUUAUAAAAAGUGUAAUUUUAAAAUUAAAAUUAUUAAAAAUUAAAUUUCUAAAGUUAAAGAUUUUGGCGGUAUUUUAAUCUUUUCAGAGGAACCUGUUUUUUAAUCGAUGGUCCACGAUGAGUUUGACUUGGAUUUUAAAUUUGUAUAUCGCUGUAGUUAAAUAUUUUUAAAGAGAAUGAAUUUUUAAUGAGUUUUAUUUUAAUUUAUAUCAGGUCAAGGUAUAGUGUAUAUUUAAGUUAAAAUGGGUUACAUUUAAGUUAUUAUUGGGAUUUUAAUUUAAAAUUUUAAUUUAAAUUGGAUUUGUGAGUAAUUUAUUGAAAUUUUUGGUAAAUGAUUUUAGUUCUAAAAUAUGUACAUAUCGCCCGUCGCUUUCGUUUAUAACGAAAUAAGUCGUAACAAAGUAGGUUUAUUGGAAAAUGAGUCUAGAAGUCA
RNAcentral lists this non-coding RNA (745 nucleotides) under Pelecotoma fennica. The record is from RNAcentral. Lineage: Eukaryota; Metazoa; Arthropoda; Insecta; Coleoptera; Ripiphoridae.